AGCGAACGCUGGCGGCAGGCCUAACACAUGCAAGUCGAACGAACCUUUCGGGGUUAGUGGCGGACGGGUGAGUAACACGUGGGAACGUGCCUUUAGGUUCGGAAUCACUCAGGGAAACUUGUGCUAAUACCGAAUGUGCCCUUCGGGGGAAAGAUUAAUCGCCUUUAGAGCGGCCCGCGUCUGAUUAGCUAGUUGGUUGAGGUAAUGGCUCACCAAGGCGACGAUCAGUAGCUGGUCUGAGAGGAUGAUCAGCCACAUUGGGACUGAGACACGGACCAAACUCCUACGGGAGGCAGCAGUGGGGAAUCUUGCGCAAUGAGCGAAAGCCUGACGCAGCCAUGCCGCGUGAAUGAUGAAGGUCUUAGGAUUGUAAAAUUCUUUCACCGGGGACGAUAAUGACGGUACCCGGAGAAGAAGCCCCGGCUAACUUCGUG
This 434-nucleotide ribosomal RNA is filed under the name uncultured bacterium. RNAcentral's name for it is "partial 16S ribosomal RNA". It matches the Rfam family "Bacterial small subunit ribosomal RNA", at positions 29 to 507 of the family's 1533-position model. The record is from RNAcentral.